RNAcentral lists this ribosomal RNA (274 nucleotides) under uncultured bacterium. Its description in RNAcentral is "partial 16S ribosomal RNA". It matches the Rfam family "Bacterial small subunit ribosomal RNA", at positions 523 to 796 of the family's 1533-position model. The record is from RNAcentral.
AUACAGAGGGUGCGAGCGUUAAUCGGAAUUACUGGGCGUAAAGCGCGCGUAGGCGGCUUAUUAAGUCAGAUGUGAAAUCCCCGGGCUCAACCUGGGAACUGCAUCUGAUACUGGUAAGCUAGAGUUUUGGAGAGGGAAGUAGAAUUUCAGGUGUAGCGGUGAAAUGCAUAGAGAUCUGAAGGAAUACCAGUGGCGAAGGCGACUUCCUGGCCAAAAACUGACGCUGAGGUGCGAAAGCGUGGGUAGCAAACGGAAUUAGAAACCCCAGUAGUCC